Molecule: long non-coding RNA, 7050 nt
Organism: Anguilla rostrata (American eel)
Lineage: Eukaryota; Metazoa; Chordata; Actinopteri; Anguilliformes; Anguillidae
Exons: 2
Source: RefSeq, a predicted model, not a curated record
GCCAUGCGGCUUUCUUUAAUUUGGUCAUUUUUGCCUAGUUAACUGGUUCUUAACCAAUGAUUUUGCAUAAGUUUGUGGCCUGAUGAAGUUAUAUAGACAAAUAAAGCCCACCUUUUCUUUUUUCUUUUAAAUAUUAACAGUCAGCUAAACAUAUCCAAUUCCCAUCGUAAUGUGGAAUAUCCAGCUAUUUGCAACAGCAAUUGUGUUCAUGCGGGAUCCCCACUGUCGAUUCGGGAGUGUAGACAUCUGCAGUUCUCCUCCAAAACAGGUGGUGUUGCCACCCUGCUCCUAUUCACACUGCAGCCCACAGCCAAGCUCGCAUAGAACAUUGGUAAAUGGCAAAUGGUAAAUGGACUGCAUUUAUAUAGCGCUUUUAUCCAAAGCGCUUUACAAUUGAUGCCUCUCAUUCGCCAGAGCAGUUAGGGGUUAGGUGUCUUGCUCAAGGACACUUCGACACUCCCAGGGCGGGGUUUGAACUGGCAACCCUCCGACUGCCAGACAAUCGGUCUUACCUCCUGAGCUAUGUCACCCCAUAUUGGUUAUCUAUUUAAGCACCCCUUCCCUGCAGUCUCAUCUGUAGCUGUGCCCCCAAGCAUGAUAAACUAAAAAUAGCAUCUGUCUUGGAGUUCAUAAAAAUAUUCUUUCACCACAAAAAAUUUGUAUUCUGUUAACAAAAUAAAGCCAAAAAUAGCCCAAAGAUAUUCCAAUACAGAGGUGAAAAAUGCUGCUAAAUGCUGAUACAAGGGGACUGUAAAAAAAUGUAAGAGCUGUAAGUGUCUAUCGAACAUAAUCUUUGUAAUUGCAGAUUAUAAAAUUCCCUAUGGGAAAAUGAAUGGUGGAAUUUCAAGGGUGGAAAUCGAGGGAAAAAUACUGACUUCACGCUUCGGCUCCCAAAUCCCAAUUUAAUAUGCACACGCUAAAAUUUUUCAACAUUUUGUAUUUUUUGCAAAGCAUACUUUUGCAAACAAGUGUGGGGCCGUUUAGCCUGUCAUCACAAAAUUAGGCUAGAAAGACUCUGGAGUCUGAUACUCAAUAAUAAUCAAAAUAAUUUUGACUUUUCAAAACAAUAUGGCUGCCACACAUCAAGAAAUUCUUGCGGGUGUAGCCAUUUUUUUUGUACGCUGGUACAGUGCUUGAUUCUGAGGAUGCAUGCACAUUUGUGCCAAUUGGUGGUGCUAAAAAAACCAAAUCACUUUAAAUGCUAACUCUUCAGGCUGAAAUAUUGUAUGUUAUAUCUCUGUGAAAGCCCCCACUUGUUUGAAUGACCAAAAUAUAACUUAAACAGACAUGGCCACCAGUGAGAUAUCAGCAGCCAUUUAACCGUUUUAGCCAUGGCCAAUCAUCAUGAAACUUGGUAGGUACAUUGACCUAUUGACUUGGUACUACCUUGUCAAGGUAUCAGAUUUGGGAUCAGUAAGCCAUUAGGGGGCACUAUAGCAAAUAUAAAAGUUUCAAAAGAGCAUAUCUUUGGCUAUGGGUAAUGGCAAAUCAUAUAAAUUGCAUUUUUAGAAACAUUAUAAGAAGCAACAUUGGUCACCAUUUUGUUGUUCUGCCGUUUUGAGUUUUUUUGCAAAACUUACUUUCGCGAACUAGUCUGGGGCUGUUUGAACUCUGUUUAGGCUAGAAAGAAACUGUACUCUGUUCCCGAAUAAAUAUCAAAAAUAUUAUGUUCUUUUCAAAAACAUAUGGCUGCCACACAUCAAUCAGUUGUUGUGGGCGUGGUCAUUUUUUUUUUGCUAAAAUCAUGAAUGCUACGUUUGAUUCUCAAAAAAUUUGGCAGUCCACGAUUCUGAGGACGUAGGCAGGUUUUGGAACCUGUCUGGCAAUAGGUGGCCCUAAACCAAAUAAGUUUAAAUACAAAUAAUUGGUUUUUAACUUGCUCUGACCUGCACUCAGCUGUCGGGCUCGCUGUAAAUUAGGCUUGUCAGCAAUAAGUAGGCUGCUGUAAUUUGCAUAUGGAUGAAAUGAGGCACAGUGUCUCAGCAUCCCUUUUAUUGUAUCAAAGCUUACAAAGGAAUUUAUCAGGGAUGUGUGAAGUGAGGGAACUCAUGUCUUUUACCAACAGCUCUGAUAAAUGAUUGAUAAAGCGUGUGCUAAGCUUUCACUCCUGCACAAUGCGAAAAAGCAAAGUGAAAGUAACCUGGUAUUUAGCAGUAUAGCAAAGACAUCAUUUCAGCUAGAAGAACGCAGUAAACUACGUUUGAAAAAGAUAUGUAAAUGAGCUUGAAAAAGACAACACUGGAACAUAUACGGGUUUUCCAAGCAGGGGCAAAAGUCACAAUGGGUAAGUCAUAAAGAGGGUUGAUUUUUUCAGGUAGUAGCUCGUUUUCAGGUCUUACUCAGCACAGGAAUGUCUAACUAAGACCUUCUUUCUUUUUUUUUGCUGUUUGUAAAUAAAGUUCUGUCGAAAUUAAUUUCGCAAGUACAAUCACACAAAAUUAAUUUACUGCCAUUGUGAUUAAAUUAAGUGAUUAAGCCUUUAGGGUAUGGAUGCAUUAUAGGGUAUAAUAAUAGGGUAUGGACACUAUAGAAAAGUUUUUCUCUGAAAACUGAGAUUUUGAAUAGACUGAAUAGAAAAGCUACACAACAACUGCCUGAAAUAUAACAGAUAUUUGCGUAUGCAUUUCCAGCAAACCACCAAAGCUGCGUGUUCUCUGUGGAGAAAGUUUUUUUUUUCGAAAAACCACAUUUUUGGAAUUUUGUUUACGUACAAAAUAAUGUUUGUUUUAAAAUUCUCUGUAAAACGCUUUCAGCUCAAUGUAAAUAACUUAUAAUGACUUUUGCUAGCCUGUACAAGGCUCCAGAGUGCGACACAUGCGACCAAAAAUCUGUCAAAUGCGACUAAACAUUUUCAUUGGUCGCACCGGUGCGCCUGACAUUUAGCAGGUCUCUGUGUGUGUAUGUGUGUAGCGUUAUUUUUUUCCCACCCUACUCUGCCUCUGAUUGGCUCUGACCAUGAUAUUCUUCUUCGCUGAAUGCGGGUGGGGAAGAAAAAUAAGGAAUGUGUGUAUUAGUUAUAUCCGCGGGCACCGCGGUUAAUCCGCUGAUCGGGCGGGCCGAGUCAUAAAAAUUAACAUUGUGAUUAAAAGUGGAUGGGUUGUGGGUGGGUGAAAUAAUACAUCAUUAAUGAGGAAAAUAUUAAUUACAUUCUCUAAAAUGUGAACAUAGUUUAAGAUCAAUUUUUCGUCAGGCACGAAUUAGCAGACUAGACUCUCAUUGCACCAACUGCGGCGUCCAUCUGUCUUAAGCAGCAAUGGAGGCAAAAAAAGAUCCGAGAGAAAAUUAAAAAAGGAGAAUUUAAAAAAAAAAAAAAAAAGGAAGGGCAGACAAGUUCCAUGUGGGAGCAAUUUAGUGAAAUACUUAACCAUGACGAGUCAAGUGCUGGGUAUGUCAUAUGCAACAGCUGCGAAAUAAUGUGAAAUAACGGUAAUGUGUGAUCGGGUAUUAGGGCCAUAUUGACGGAAAAAAAUCGGAGAUUUUGAGAAUAAGAUCGUAAUAUUAUGACAAUAACGCUGUAAUAUUACGAGAAUAAAGUCAUAAUAUUAUGAGAAUAAAGUCGUAAUUUUACGAGAAAAAAGUCAUAAUAUUACGAGAAUAAAGUCGUAAUUUUAGGCUACAUGGGGAAAUAUCAGAAGUUAUACUUUAGUAGGAUAUAGGUUUCACAAAUAACGAGAUAGCCUACUUAAUCUUUUAGCACAUCAGCACCACAUUAUCAUAAGUAACAGGACUUUGAAAAGAUUUUGCAAGAAACUUUUAUAUUCCGAAAAAAGAACCACACAGACUUGGAGGAAAUUGCAGGCUCAGGCUGCCAUUAUACUGUCCUCUCGCCCGUUUUGUUGGUUGCUGGUAAUAUAUUUUCCUAAAAAUUAUGUUUUUCUCUUCGAAAUUUUACGAUUUUAUUCACGUAAUAUUAUGAUUUUUUCUCGUAAAAUUACAACUUUAUUCUCGUAAUAUUACAACCUUUUUCUUGAAAUAUUAUGACUUUAUAUUAUUCUCAUUAAAUUAUGACUUUAUUCUCGUACUAUUAUGACUUUUUUCUCGAAAUCUCUGAUUUUCCCCCCCUCAAUGUGGCCCUAAUACUAAGUCGUAGGGGUGCGGGUCUCUAAAUUAGUUUGGGUGGGUGGCGGGUGGAUGAUGCGAUUCGGAUGACGUCAGAGCCGAUCCGCGCAUCACUAGUGUGUAUGUGUGAAUCUGCGCCCUGUACUCCUCCGGGGGCAGCGCACACUUUUGUUUGAGUUAUUUGAGUUUGAUUUAUUUAUUUGAGUUUGUCAAGCACUUUAAACAUCAGCACUUUUUAAGUUUAUUUUUUAAACAAUUGAGGUUAUUGCGAUUUCUUGAUGGUGCUGUGAUUUAAAUAAAGAAAAAACAUUGAUCUGCACCUUUAUUCCUGUUUACAAUCAUUUACAAAAUGUGUUAAGAAAUUACCAAUGUGUAUGGGAACUGACAAAAAAGGUAACGCUUAAAAUGUAUUAUUGCGCCACCAAAAGGCGCAGGGAAAAAUUUUGGGUGCACCUAAAUUAUGUGCUGGUUCACCUAAAUGAGAAAGUUAGGCGCACCAGUGCAACCAAUGUAAAAAGUUAGUCUGGAGCCCUGUUCUAUACAAAGAGCAGGGCUGCGUUUCCAAGUUUCAAUGUACCUUAACAUUUUACAAAGGUUUCUAAGGUAUACCUUUAAAAGGGAAACCGCUUUUUUACGAGUGUUUCCCAGACUAUACCUUAACAGUUCCCUUAAGGGACACCUCAAAGGUACGUCGUAAGUUGGAGCUGGCCUUCACUGUGGUGCUGAAAAGUUUAUCAAUCGAUGCCAAGCGAAUCGAUUGUCUCACUUGUAAAGGCUUAUGAAUGACGUUUUAAUAUAACAAGUGUUGUCAUAAUCAUUUUACAUCAAUCUAAUAUUGCAGAAGAGGAAGCUAUGCCUACUAAAGAUUAUCUGCUAAUCUCUUUAAGAGUCAAAUAACUGUCUGCAGACCUUGUGAUAGUUUUAAUCAAUAAAUGUAGGCUACAAAAGAUAAAAUAAAGAGCAUCAAUCGGCACAUAUACGCCAUAGUCUGGGACUUCUUGGAAGCCCAGGAAAAAGGAUAUAGGCUACAUAUAAAAAAUUAUUUUGUUCUUAUUGAAACAAAGAUCUAAUUUUAAUUUGUUUUUGUCAAGCAAUAUAUAGACAACUGUAGCAGCAUAUCCCCUGAUUCCUGCUGACUUUUCUCUGCAGUGCAAAAAUGAUCGUAGAUGAAAGGCAAAAGCGCGUCUGUGGAAAUUGAUAAUGAUUAAUUCUAUACCGCGUAUGCAACGGCAUUUUAACCUGGGUCAGUAGUGUAAAGAGGAUAUUAAAUGAAAUAUUGCCAAAUCAUUUUAUAACCUAUCAUAAUACUAUAGAUGGCUCACUUAAAGGAAGUAAAAGAAGGGACACAACGUGGCGUUUCAUUGCCGUGUUUUGUGUGAUCACUGAUUAGUGUAAUUAAUAGUAGGUGCAUCCGAUUACUAAUUUAAUUUAUUGCGCACUGGGAUUGGCUAAUGCAGCCUACAUAAUUACCCGUGGGUAGUUUCACAUAUGAAGACAAGACGGCAUAGAGGAGCGAUCUUCACAAAGGAGGAAAUGCACGUCUUACUUGAUGAAGUGCAACAAAACAAGGGCAUCCUAUUUAGUAAUUUUAGGAGUAAUGUGUCAGGUAAGGCGAGGGAAUGGACCCAAAUGCAGAGUCAAAAAUACUCGAAAUCCAAAAGGGUAAAUACAAACCGAGAAUUUACUUUUAAUAAGUACAAAAACCAGGGAGAACAAAAACAAAGCCACGCAGGGCAAGUCUCAAAAGGACAAAGCAAAGUUCUUUAAACGCAAAAACAAAGAAAAUCCAGAAAUUCAAAACAAUGCAAAAACAGAACACAGGCAGGAUAGAAAACACUCAGGACAAAACACAGAGUCAAAAGUACACGUGGGAGCACAUACCGAAACACAAUCAGAAAAGCACACACAAGGAUCCAGCACCUGAGUCAGGGAAGAAGGAACUUAAAUAGACAAGACACUGACGAGACCCAGGAGGGCACAAUGCACAAUCAGGCCACAGAGAGGGAAGGGAAAACGAGACAACCAAAAAACAAUAAUUGAAUAAUUGAAAACAAUAAUACAAUUAAACAGGGUAAAUGAACAGAACUAAAAACUGAAGUGCCGCCAUCUGGCGGCCCAAAAGGGGAAACGCAGACAAACCACAGAACCCUGACAUAAUAUUUCCAAUAAGGCAAAAGUGGCUAUUUGGAUGAAUAUAGAGAGUGGACAGUUGUCAGGAAAAAAUGGCAAGACUUCGCCAGUCUUGCCAAAUCUCGAGGGGCGGCAGUGCGGAGGGAGAUAGCAAAAACGGGUGCUGGACUGAGCGUAGUACCCAGCCUCACCCCUGACGAAGAAAAGGCCCUUUCAAUCAUUGGCCACACGGCCUCCCAAGGCAUCUCGGGGGGCAUUGAUGUCAGAUCUGGCAAGGGGACAUCCACCCUCCAGCCCUCUGGUGAGGGGACAUCCACCCCACCCCCCGAGCCCUCCUCGCCACCCCAAAGCUCGCAUGCCUCGUCGCCUUCUCGCUGUGGUUCUCCCCCCCGACAGAAGCCCGCACCAGAACACCUCAGAUGCGAGGUGGAAUGUCAAGGAAGAGAGUCGUGCGCUGCAGCUGCAGCGAAGACCUUCUCCGUUUGGAGAAGGAGAAGCUGGUGGUGCUGCGAGGGCAUCGAGGCGCAACUGGAGAUGUCCAACAGCCUCCAGCGGGAGAUGCUGGAAGUAAAAAAAGCAAAACUGGACCUCCUGCAGAGGCAGUAUGAUUUGGCAGAGGCACAGUUUCAUAGGCCCUCCAUAUCCGUGCCCAUCAUUCUGCCAUCUCAAGAUGAGACAAAUCCAUGACCACGUCCCCGUUGAUGAAGUUUUUUAUUUUAUUAUUUAAAAAAAAAAAAAUUUUUAAGGAACGGUAUACUAUCUUUUUGUUUGCAUCUAUUUUGUUCCUUUGAUAAAACAUGCUCCUUUUUGGAAACCUUAACCUUUUGUUACAUUCUGCAAAUAAAGCACCUGUGUGUUCUA